RNAcentral lists this transfer RNA (74 nucleotides) under Felis catus (domestic cat). Its description in RNAcentral is "tRNA-Glu (CTC) (tRNA-Glu-CTC-4-1)". It matches the Rfam family "tRNA". Rfam says of the family: Transfer RNA (tRNA) molecules are approximately 80 nucleotides in length. Their secondary structure includes four short double-helical elements and three loops (D, anti-codon, and T loops). The record is from Rfam by way of RNAcentral. Lineage: Eukaryota; Metazoa; Chordata; Mammalia; Carnivora; Felidae.
GCCUAGCUGGCUCAGUUGGUAGAGCAUGCAACUCUCAAUCUCAAGGGUUGUGAGUUCAAGCCUCAUGUUGGGCA